This 1096-nucleotide ribosomal RNA is filed under the name Apilactobacillus kunkeei. RNAcentral's name for it is "bacterial SSU rRNA". It matches the Rfam family "Bacterial small subunit ribosomal RNA", at positions 46 to 1092 of the family's 1533-position model. Lineage: Bacteria; Bacillati; Bacillota; Bacilli; Lactobacillales; Lactobacillaceae. The record is from RNAcentral.
GCGCUAUACAUGCAGUCGAACGAGCUCUCCCAAAUUGAUUUUAUGCUUGCAUAAAUGAUUUUUGGAUUCGGAGCGAGUGGCGAACUGGUGAGUAACACGUGGGUAACCUGCCCCAAAGCGGGGGAUAACAUUUGGAAACAAGUGCUAAUACCGCAUAAUUAGUUGGAACCGCAUGGUUCCAACUUGAAAGAUGGCUCUGCUAUCACUUUGGGAUGGACCCGCGCCGUAUUAGUUAGUUGGUGAGAUAAAAGCCCACCAAGACGAUGAUACGUAGCCGACCUGAGAGGGUAAUCGGCCACAUUGGGACUGAGACACGGCCCAGACUCCUACGGGAGGCAGCAGUAGGGAAUCUUCCACAAUGGACGAAAGUCUGAUGGAGCAACGCCGCGUGAGUGAUGAAGGUUUUCGGAUCGUAAAACUCUGUUGUUAAAGAAGAACAAGUGUUAGAGUAACUGUUAACACUUUGACGGUAUUUAACCAGAAAGCCACGGCUAACUACGUGCCAGCAGCCGCGGUAAUACGUAGGUGGCAAGCGUUGUCCGGAUUUAUUGGGCGUAAAGCGAGCGCAGGCGGUUUUGUAAGUCUGCUGUGAAAGCCCUCAGCUUAACUGAGGAAGUGCAGUGGAAACUACAAAACUUGAGUACAGAAGAGGAAAGUGGAACUCCAUGUGUAGCGGUGAAAUGCGUAGAUAUAUGGAAGAACACCAGUGGCGAAGGCGGCUUUCUGGUCUGUUACUGACGCUGAGGCUCGAAAGCAUGGGUAGCGAACAGGAUUAGAUACCCUGGUAGUCCAUGCCGUAAACGAUGAAUACUAGGUGUUGGAGGGUUUCCGCCCUUCAGUGCCGCAGCUAACGCAUUAAGUAUUCCGCCUGGGGAGUACGACCGCAAGGUUGAAACUCAAAGGAAUUGACGGGGGCCCGCACAAGUGGUGGAGCAUGUGGUUUAAUUCGAUGCUACGCGAAGAACCUUACCAGCUCUUGACAUCUUCUGCCAACCCAAGAGAUUGGGCGUUCCCUUCGGGGACAGAAUGACAGGUGGUGCAUGGUUGUCGUCAGCUUCGGUUUCCGGGAAAAAUGUUUGGGGUUUAAAUCCCCCGC